GUAAGGUGAUAUGAACCGUUAUAGCCGGCGAUGUCCGAAUGGGGAAACCCAGUGUGAUUCGUCACACUAUCGUUAACUGAAUACAUAGGUUAACGAGGCGAACCGGGGGAACUGAAACAUCUAAGUACCCCGAGGAAAAGAAAUCAACCGAGAUUCCCCCAGUAGCGGCGAGCGAACGGGGAGCAGCCCAGAGUCUGAAUCAGCUUGUGUGUUAGUGGAACGGUCUGGAAAGUCCGACGGUACAGGGUGAUAGUCCCGUACACCAAAAUGCACAGGUUGUGAACUCGAAGAGUAGGGCGGGACA
This 304-nucleotide ribosomal RNA is filed under the name Acinetobacter baumannii. RNAcentral describes it as "partial 23S ribosomal RNA". It matches the Rfam family "Bacterial large subunit ribosomal RNA", at positions 81 to 424 of the family's 2925-position model. The record is from RNAcentral. Lineage: Bacteria; Pseudomonadati; Pseudomonadota; Gammaproteobacteria; Moraxellales; Moraxellaceae.